RNAcentral lists this ribosomal RNA (435 nucleotides) under uncultured bacterium. RNAcentral's name for it is "partial 16S ribosomal RNA". It matches the Rfam family "Bacterial small subunit ribosomal RNA", at positions 29 to 507 of the family's 1533-position model. The record is from RNAcentral.
AGCGAACGCUGGCGGCAGGCUUAACACAUGCAAGUCGAGCGGGCAUCUUCGGAUGUCAGCGGCAGACGGGUGAGUAACACGUGGGAACGUACCCUUCGGUUCGGAACAACUCUGGGAAACUGGAGCUAAUACCGGAUACGCCCUUAUGGGGAAAGGCUUACUGCCGAAGAAUCGGCCCGCGUCUGAUUAGCUAGUUGGUGGGGUAACGGCCUACCAAGGCGACGAUCAGUAGCUGGUCUGAGAGGAUGAUCAGCCACACUGGGACUGAGACACGGCCCAGACUCCUACGGGAGGCAGCAGUGGGGAAUAUUGGACAAUGGGCGCAAGCCUGAUCCAGCCAUGCCGCGUGAGUGAUGAAGGCCUUAGGGUUGUAAAGCUCUUUUGUCCGGGACGAUAAUGACGGUACCGGAAGAAUAAGCCCCGGCUAACUUCGUG